UACGUAGGGGCAAGCGUUGUCCGGAUUUAUUGGGCGUAAAGAGCGUGUAGGCGGCUAGGUAGGUCCGUUGUGAAAACUCGAGGCUCAACCUCGAGACGCCGAUGGAAACCAUCUGGCUAGAGUCCGGAAGAGGAGAGUGGAAUUCCUGGUGUAGCGGUGAAAUGCGCAGAUAUCAGGAAGAACACCCGUGGCUAAGGCGGCUCUCUAGUACGGUACUGACGCUGAGACGCGAAAGCGUGGGGAGCGAACAGG
This 252-nucleotide ribosomal RNA is filed under the name uncultured bacterium. RNAcentral's name for it is "partial 16S ribosomal RNA". It matches the Rfam family "Bacterial small subunit ribosomal RNA", at positions 524 to 776 of the family's 1533-position model. The record is from RNAcentral.